AAUAUUAAUUCUUCAAUGUAAUCUUACAAACAUAGUUUGAAAUAUAUAUAUAGUACCUAUUAAUUUUGUGAAAGCUAAGUAAUGAAAUAUUUCUAAAAAUUUAAUAUUAUUUAACGCAAAUUUAAAAUAAAUAAAACCUUUAAGAGACCUACCUUUUUAAUAUUCUGCGAUUAUUUAUUAAUUUAAAUUGACUAAUAUUUUAGCACAUUAAAUUUAAUCUCGGAAAUAAGUAUGCCACAUUGUUAGCAUAGAGAAGGGUGGUGACGUUUGUGACAGAGUAAUUUUCCAUAUUACUGUUGGCUGCCCUGACAUACUUCCCCCCCCCCCCCAAACGGAUUUGUUUACUUCCUUUCUUAAAGGGUUACAGAAUUGUUAGCAGAAAACCAUUUUGUUGCUUCAGAGCGUGUAAAUUAGUGAAGAUAUGUGAGCUUCAUAACUUCUACUUUGAAUAAAAAAGAUUUAAAAACAUGCCGUUAAAAUAUAAACGGAAAACGGAUCGCUCACCUCCCGCCUUUGAUACAAUUCAGAAUGCCAUCAGAGAAGUGGUGGAGGAAAAGAUGGCUUUGCGGCAAACUGCUCUCAAGUAUGGCAUUUCCAAGUCAUCGCUAUCGAGGUAUGUGAUGAAUAGAGAUAAAUUGCCUGGAGCUGAUGGAAAAUAUCAGUCCAAGCACACUUCCACACAAAUCUUCACAACUCAUGAAGAAAAUCUUUUGGUAAAGUAUGUCCUUACAUCUUCCCGGAUGCAUUAAUGUCUCUUGACCAAUAUAACUCGACAAUUAGCAUACCAGUUUGCUGUGGCAAACGAAAAGAAAAUACCAACAAAUUGGGAGCUCACUAAAUUGGCAGGACUAGACUGGCUGAGGUUUUGUUUUGCUCGGAACCCUGAACUUUCUGUACGCAAACCAGAGGCUAUUAGUCUGUCAAGCGCCACAAGUUUCAAUAAAAAAAUGUUGGGGACUUUUUUUAAUAGUUUGAGUGAUGUCUACAAAAGGUACAGAUUUGGACCUAAGUAAAUUCAUUUAUAAUAUGAAUGAAACAGCUGUGAAAACAGUUCAAAAUACCUGCAAAGUAAUAGCUCAGAAAGGAUCCAAGCAAGUUGGGCAAAUGGCCUCAGCAGAAAGAGGACUGGGAAACUUCAUCCCACCAUUCAUGUGUGUAGCUGUAAAUGCAGUGGGAAAUUUCAUCCCACCAUUCUAUGUAUUUCCUAGGGUACAUUUUAAGGAAAAUAUAAUGUUUAAAGGAGCUACACCUGGGUCUAGUGAUGCAGCUAAUCCAUCAGGCUGGAUGUCCACAGAAAUAUUCCCCAUGUUCCUAAAGCAUUUUGUCAAGCACGUAAAACCCUCUCUUGCAAAUCCAAUCCUGUUGAUUCUGUAUAAUCAUGAGAGUCAUGUCUCAGUAAAUUCAAUUGACUAUGCAAAGGAAAAUGGCAUUACACUUUUGACACUUCCUCCACAUUGUAGCAAUAAGUUACAUCCCUUAGACGUGAGUGUUUUCGGUCCCUUCAAGGGAUACUACAACCGUGCAUAGGACUCAUGGAUGGUAUCAAACCCUGGUAAAACAGUGUCCGACUUUUGAAGUAGCCCAGCUGGCAGGUCAAGCACUUGCUCUGUCAUUCACACCAAAAAACAUCCAAGCAGGAUUUUCAAAAUGUGGAAUAUAUCCGUUAAAUAGGGACACAUUUACUGACGAUGACUUUCUGUGCUCCUCGGUGACUGACCGUCCAGAACAUAUGUCUACGACAGAAUCAAAUGAAAAUAUUCCACAGGUAUCUCAUCAUAGGCCUACAUCUCCCGAUGAAACUGCAACUGAUCCAUGUGCAAGUACCAACUUUCAAUCUAGUCCAACUAACUCGCCAAACAGAACAACAAAGCAGAUUGUCACUCCAGAACAACUCAAACCAUACCCAAAAUCUGGCCCAAGGAAACUACAAAAUACUACUAGGAAACUAGGAAGAACACAAAUUUUGACAGACACACCAGUGAAAGCUGAGGUAAAAGCAGCCGCGAAAAGAAA
Molecule: long non-coding RNA, 2013 nt
Organism: Bacillus rossius redtenbacheri
Lineage: Eukaryota; Metazoa; Arthropoda; Insecta; Phasmatodea; Bacillidae
Exons: 2
Source: RefSeq, a predicted model, not a curated record